UCGAUUGAGUUUGAUCAUGGCUCAGGACGAACGCUGGCGGCGUGCUUAACACAUGCAAGUCGAACGGUGAUGAGGAGCUUGCUUCUCUGAUCAGUGGCGAACGGGUGAGUAACACGUGAGCAAUCUGCCCUUGACUCUGGGAUAAGCGUUGGAAACGACGUCUAAUACCGGGUACGACUCUUGGAGGCAUCUCUGGGGGUGGAAAGAAUUUUGGUCAAGGAUGAGCUCGCGGCCUAUCAGCUUGUUGGUGAGGUAAUGGCUCACCAAGGCGACGACGGGUAGCCGGCCUGAGAGGGUGACCGGCCACACUGGGACUGAGACACGGCCCAGACUCCUACGGGAGGCAGCAGUGGGGAAUAUUGCACAAUGGGCGAAAGCCUGAUGCAGCAACGCCGCGUGAGGGACGACGGCCUUCGGGUUGUAAACCUCUUUUAGUAGGGAAGAAGCGUAACAGUGACGGUACCUGCAGAAAAAGCACCGGCUAACUACGUGCCAGCAGCCGCGGUAAUACGUAGGGUGCAAGCGUUGUCCGGAAUUAUUGGGCGUAAAGAGCUCGUAGGCGGUUUGUCGCGUCUGCUGUGAAAACCCGAGGCUCAACCUCGGGCCUGCAGUGNNUACGGGCAGACUAGAGUGCGGUAGGGGAGAUUGGAAUUCCUGGUGUAGCGGUGGAAUGCGCAGAUAUCAGGAGGAACACCAAUGGCGAAGGCAGAUCUCUGGGCCGUAACUGACGCUGA
Molecule: ribosomal RNA, 734 nt
Filed under: uncultured bacterium
Lineage: Bacteria
Description: bacterial SSU rRNA
Rfam family: Bacterial small subunit ribosomal RNA
Source: RNAcentral